AGAGAGACGCCUUCACCAUCUGCGACUCGCCCCCGUGGCCACCGUCAAUAGCAUUGCCGGCGACGGCAAACACCAUCGGAACUAUACUUAGAUUGGGUUCAGAUAUAAGGGUUAGAGAAGAUGAGUCGCGGGAUUAGCAAGAGGCCAUACUCGAAAGGUUCGCGCCUUGUGUGAAUCCAGUGCCUGGGUCCCUCGCCGGUGAAGAUGAAGACACUGUUUUGUUCCUUUUUUUUUGUUGUAUUUUUCUGGUGAAUGCACAGUUUAAUGGUUCAUGCUCAUUGUUGAUGAUUGGGGAUGGAAAGGGUUGGAUGUCGUGGUGAGAGAGGAGGCGGGUUAGAUAAAAGGGGUAGCAGGGUGAGGCUGCGGAUGAUGGCACCGGCGAGGAGAUUAGGUUACUGCUCUUUUGAAUUUUUUCUGUGUUUCAGGUUCCUGCUCAUUAUUCGGCCUUGUUGCUGGUGGGUUUGAAUUCAUUUGAGAAAGAGGGUAUAGUGCCAUUGAGAAGAGAUUACAGAGAUAAUGAAAAUGUUUGGAUUAUUGCUUUGCAGCAUUUAGCACUGAGAUUCUAGGGAAAUAAGAUGGAUGUACAUGGUGGUGAAUGUGGAGUCGGGGUGGUGUGAACCGGUCCCAGUGACCGGUGCUGAUGGUAAACGAUAAAUGGAGGAGCAAGAUUCACAUACUCAAGAGCAGUAUACAUGAUGCUUAGCAGUUAAAAUGAAGCAUAUUAUCUAGCAUUACUAUGAUAACACAAAGUAGAUUGCUUACCCUCAAGAAUUCUGUGCUGAGUUACUGUGCUAUUGACUUCCGGCGAUUCUCCGACAAGGCUCCAAUCACCUUCACCCUUGUGACGUUUCUCUUGUGUUUUUUUUUUCUCUGCUUCUGAUUUCCCUUUUCUCCAAUCACCCUGCCAUUCUCUUUUUCCCCCAGAAUCCUCUAACGGUAAUAUUCCCUUUCACCUGCCCCCACCCACACGCACAAUUCGAUUCUGUUUUUUUCUUACACACACACGCGCUUCCCCCUCCCCUGCACACACACACCCUCUCGUCGCAUUACACGUUUUAAUUAUUAUUUUUUUAAUUUUUUAUUUUUGUUAUCNAC
RNAcentral lists this long non-coding RNA (1095 nucleotides) under Vigna radiata. RNAcentral's name for it is "long non-coding RNA (VRAD_LNC007608)". Lineage: Eukaryota; Viridiplantae; Streptophyta; Magnoliopsida; Fabales; Fabaceae. The record is from RNAcentral.